Non-coding RNA from Vigna umbellata (rice bean), 2010 nucleotides. NCBI's taxonomy places the organism in Eukaryota, Viridiplantae, Streptophyta, Magnoliopsida, Fabales, Fabaceae. The record is from RefSeq and is a predicted model, not a curated record.
UUUGGGACAGUUUCUGGAUUCAACUGCUGGUAAGGGAUAUUAAAAUCCCUAAUUUCGUGGUACCUCGUUCCUCUUAGCUUGCUUUAGCUUUGGCCGCAUAAGCUUCGCUUUUGAAACCCUUCUUCCCCGAAAUCAUUUUUCCUCGUGCAUCAAAUUCUUGCUCCAUUAAAAUCCUUCCUGUGCAUCACGGUUCUUGGCCCUGCCGUCGUGCCAUUGAGCUCACCGUUCGGUUUGACAUUGAAAUCGUUGUUCGGUUUGCCAUUAAAAUCCCUAAUUCCUAAGUUCAUCUUCUCCUGCAAUUCGUAAAUCCAUCAUGACCUAAACCUAAAAUUUGUUUUCCAUCCUCAACAACCUUUCCAGCGUGAAGGUGGAGUGAACAGUGUUAGGAGCUUGAAGGCUUUCGUUGACGAGGGAUUUGACCGUGAGAAGAACCAGAACCAGGUAUGAGAGCUAACCCGUGUAUGUCCUUGUUUUUUUUCUUGACGUGACAAGCGAAAUAUUCGAAUUUGUGGCUCGAAGAUCGCUUCUGCUUCAACAAAUGGUCUCCCUAUCAUGAAACAAUUGAUUUUGAUGUCCACAGUAACCACGUUGAGUUUUUUUAUCAUCAUUUAAAAGAUGAGCAUUUAACUCCUUUGUUUGAAGAGAUAGUAAAGUUAGAACGAGCUCUUUUCAACAUUCAGUGUGAACAACAUUGGCUUGAGGCUCACCCAGAACGCCAGGCAAUAGAAUACUCAAGCCAGCUGGGAGCACCAGGUGCUACCUUAUGUUCUUUGCCACCUUUACUGUUGGCGGUUUGAUCCAACCCUGUUGUUUGAAACCUUCUCUUGGCUUGUUUUCUUGCUUGAUAAUUGUAUUUGCUUUCUUCAUCUCUGUCAGAUGUUAUUUGAACCUUAUCUUUUUCCCAGAUAAAGUCUUGUUCUAUCUAUGGUCAGCUGCAGUUUUGUUUUUAUAUUUGUCCCAGGUGCAGUCUUCCUCCCAUCUUUAUCUCAUUGCAGUCUAGACUCUGUAUUCACUUCCUAAGUCCCAUAUGUAAUGACACCAACACCUCGAGCAUAUCUCACAUUAUCAUCUAUCUAGUGUGAUAUUAGUCAAGGUUUUUGGUUGCGCCAUCUGUGAUUAUUACAAUUCUGUAACACCCCUUUAUUGUUGCUUUUCCUCCAUUUGAGCCCAUUGUCAUUGCUGACAAUUACUUGAUUCAUACGUUGCUUGGGCUGUUAUACGCACUCCACCUACUCUAAUCACUUCAGCGAUCAACUUGCACAGUGCAUUUAACAUGUUACUUUGACUCAUUCCAUGCCUUUCUUUGAACAUUCUUACAUGUGAAACAAAUAUAGAUAUGCAUAAAGCAUAAGGCCUGAAACGAAGAAAUCUCUGUUGUUUCGUCCACUGCGACCAUUUUCAAUUCUGUGUCAUUGCUCAGCUUGACCAUUAACUCAACGUCCACCUCCUCCUUCUUUGUUCCAAAUAUUUUCCUACUGUUGUUCACUGAGCCUUUCAACUUCUCAAUCGAUUCACGGCUGAAACUGAAGAUUCUCUCUCGAAAGGGCGAGUCAACAUCGAAGCACAUGACUGCAUCCAAUGGGAUAUUUCUUACAUGGCAAAACAUAAUUCUAAAGCUCUUCACAACCGUUCAUAUGGACAAGGCAGCUUUACUAGAGAGUGUGAUAGACCAUGUCAAAGAUCUAAAGAAAAAGGCCAUGGAUGUUAGCAGAGCUUUCACAGUUCCAACUGAAAUUGAUGAAGUAUCAAUUGACUCUGAGCAGAAAUAAGAGGCAGAGGUUCUUCUUGCCUUCUCAUUGCCUACAGUAAUUUAAUUAAUAUAUUGCAAAAUUAUUUUCUUUUGCCCUAAGGGUCGUUUCAUUGGGGCAAUUAUUUGCUUUAUUUUCAAUAUUUAUAUACCGAUAUAGCUUUUCCAUUAGGAAUAUGAAAUCAUGAAAUAUUAGUUAUGUGUCACCGAUUAAACCAAAGUUAAAGAGGGAGAAACUAAAUCAAAUAUGUGUAAAAGGUUAA